This 253-nucleotide ribosomal RNA is filed under the name uncultured bacterium. RNAcentral's name for it is "partial 16S ribosomal RNA". It matches the Rfam family "Bacterial small subunit ribosomal RNA", at positions 524 to 776 of the family's 1533-position model. The record is from RNAcentral.
UACGGAGGGUGCAAGCGUUAUCCGGAUCUACUGGGUUUAAAGGGUGCGCAGGCGGAUAUGUAAGUCAGUGGUGAAAUCUUCCCGCUUAACGGGAAAACUGCCAUUGAUACUAUAUAUCUUGAAUGCUGUGGAGGUAAGCAGAAUAUGUCAUGUAGCGGUGAAAUGCUUAGAGAUGACAUAGAAUACCUAUUGCGAAGGCAGCUUACUACGCAGAUAUUGACGCUCAUGCACGAAAGCGUGGGGAUCAAACAGG